Molecule: unclassified non-coding RNA, 152 nt
Filed under: uncultured fungus
Lineage: Eukaryota; Fungi
Description: sequence contains ITS1
Source: RNAcentral
UGUUUAAUUAUUAUCGUUAAAAAUUUUGUUUGUUUUUUUGAUCCAAAUACACGAGCGGGUUUGGUUGAAUACACGGGUAAGAGCACCGAAGCGCCCUCCACCCGACAUUCAUUAUUGUUUUAAUGAUCCUUCCGCAGGUUCACCUACGGAAA